UACGUAGGGUGCAAGCGUUAAUCGGAAUUACUGGGCGUAAAGCGUGCGCAGGCGGUUUUGUAAGUCCGAUGUGAAAUCCCCGGGCUCAACCUGGGAAUUGCAUUGGAGACUGCAAGGCUAGAAUCUGGCAGAGGGGGGUAGAAUUCCACGUGUAGCAGUGAAAUGCGUAGAGAUGUGGAGGAACACCGAUGGCGAAGGCAGCCCCCUGGGUCAAGAUUGACGCUCAUGCACGAAAGCGUGGGGAGCAAACAGG
This 253-nucleotide ribosomal RNA is filed under the name uncultured bacterium. RNAcentral describes it as "partial 16S ribosomal RNA". It matches the Rfam family "Bacterial small subunit ribosomal RNA", at positions 524 to 776 of the family's 1533-position model. The record is from RNAcentral.